CUACGGGAGGCAGCAGUGGGGAAUAUUGGACAAUGAGCGAAAGCUUGAUCCAGCGACGCCGCGUGUAGGAUGAAGUCCCUCGGGAUGUAAACUACUGUCAGGGACCACCAAGUAAUCAGGGCUAAUAUCCCUGUGCGCUGAGGAAUCCCAGAGGAAGUCACGGCUAACUUCGUGCCAGCAGCCGCGGUAAUACGAAGGUGGCAAGCGUUGUUCGGAAUUACUGGGCUUAAAGAGCAUGUAGGCGGACUGUCAAGCGUCUUGUGAAAUCCCUCGGCUCAACCGAGGAAUUGCAUGGCGAACUGGCAGUCUUGAGGCAGGUAGGGGCAACUAGAACUCUUGGUGGAGCGGUGGAAUGCGUAGAUAUCAAGAGGAAUGCCAGAGGCGAAGGCGAGUUGCUGGGCCUGUCCUGACGCUGAGAUGCGAAAGCCAGGGGAGCGAACGGGAUUAGAUACCCCGGUAGUCCUGGCCCUAAACGAUGUCCACUAGGUUGUAGGCACUCUGACGUGUUUGCAGCCGAAAUGAAAACGUUAAGUGGACCGCCUGGGGAGUACGGUCGCAAGGCUAAAACUCAAAGGAAUUGACGGA
RNAcentral lists this ribosomal RNA (585 nucleotides) under uncultured bacterium. Its description in RNAcentral is "bacterial SSU rRNA". It matches the Rfam family "Bacterial small subunit ribosomal RNA", at positions 339 to 917 of the family's 1533-position model. The record is from RNAcentral.